AACUUGUCCACCACGUACACAGCACUGUUAAAUAAAAUUGCACACAUGGAACAAUGGUUAUCAACUGAGGUAUCUUCUAAAUGUGAAUAUUUUGGCCUUCAAUCAUUCCCUCCUCACUUCCUUCUCUCUCUGACUUUAAUACAGUGGACAAAUACGGGCACAUGUAAUGCUUAGGGAUGGUUGAACAAAUUCCUAUGCAAAAGUCAUUCACAGAAGACAAGUUUUCCUAUGAAUUUCAACACAAAAGCAUACAAAAUAUACUAAUUUUACUAAAUACUUUGUCAUACACUGGCAACCUCUUUAACAUCUAGAGACUAGACUAGAUGCUGCAAAAUUAGGACUCACCUGUCCAUUAUAUACACUAUAUACAGAGCAAAACAAAAUGCACAAAAGAUACAGAAAAAUGGUGUCUGAAAAAGUCCAACUAUGAACAUACUAGCGUAUUACCUUUUGCAAUUUCUUCCCUCCUACCUCUUCUAAACCAUUGAACAAGUAUAGACAGCACUAUACUUCUCACAAAGGUGGCUUCACAAUUCAAUUUCCAAAAGACAGUAUUUCCUAUGAAUUUCAGCAAAAAGAUAUUUACAAAAUGGUAUUUUACUACCUCUACAUUUAACAUUCAUCAGGCACUUCUAAACAUCUAGAUAGACUAGAUGUUUCAAGUAAGGAGUUAAUUUGUCCACUUUGUACAAAGCAGUCUUGAAUAAACCGCAAACAUGUAACAACAGUUAUAAUUUGAAAGAAUCUUCCAAAUAUGAACGUUCUGGCCUAGAACCCUUCCUAUCUCCAACAACCCAGUGGGCAAGAAUGCUCAAAUUUUCAGAGGACAAUCUUUCCUAGGACUUGUAAAACAAAAUGUCUUCCAGCUCCAUGUCAUCUAACCCACUGAACAAACGUGGAUGUAUCGCUUCCAGGGGCUGUCUAAUAACUCCAUUUCCAAAAAUCAUCUCCAGAAGACAUUUAUUUUGUACGACUUCCUUUAAACAAAUGAGAAUUUACAAGAUGUGACUUUCUAACUCUACUUUAUCAUACGUCAGGAACCUCUUUCCAUCUAGAAGGGCUAGAUGUGACAAAUGUUUUCUAUCAACAGGCUAGGGUGGAGUUGAGGGCAGGUUUUUCAUAUUGUAUACACAGGCCUUCCAUAAAUGGCCAGUAAAUCUUCCCAAAGGGUGGUGGGCAUUUCCAACGGGCCAAAAGUGGCCUGUCAUUCUACCAUUUCUCCCAACAGCAAGAUCUGGUAGAAGGAAGACCAGCCGCCCCAUGGCCCCUAACCUUCCACCCGUUUUUCGGGACUUCGCUCACCUCCCAGGCCCCUUAAGGCCUUUGUCGGUAUGUUAAGGCCUUUGUCUAGGUAGGUCUCGCCCAAUGGGGACAGAUCAGUCGCCCAGGGUUCCGGAUCUACGCAGCUCCGUGGCCUAAAGAGACAGCCGAGCCUGCGUGCGUCCCUAGGCCGCCUUCCGGUUCCGCCACGCCCUAACGGCUUCCAUCGCCUGGCGUUUGGGUGGCCGCCAUGCUUCCGGGCCCGCCACUCCCGCCGCCACCCAAAGACACUGCGUUCCGGCAGGCUUGGGCUGGGAGACCCGGUGUUGGGUGGGGUCCCGGCAGGGACAAGCCGCUGCCGCCAUCAGUCACCGAGGUGGGGUGGGGAUGAGAGGUUCGCCGCGGCUUCAAGACCUGGGUCCGGCCAGUGGGCAGCCACAUCGGAGGCCUCAGGAUUAUCAAUCACAGUCAUAUCUAUAAUGAAACUGGAAGAAAAACUACACAGAAAAGAAUUCAAAGUGAUUUGGCACUGCCUUCUGCUUGGCCCAUCUGCUGUUAUUUUUUUUCUCCUACUGGCAGAACGUUAGACAAUAUUUCAACUUAGCAUCUCAUAGGCAGUUAAACAACGGACAAGGCAUUUCCCUCAAUAAAUCUCCUUCACUACUAACUCUGUCUUGGCACCUGAACCAACACCGGACCUAACCAACACAGUUUUGAGGAAGGCUGAAGAAGAGUGGGCUGGAGAAGAGGAAAUGAUACCAUGUUCUUUUAAGAAAAAAGAGGAAAAAGCCCACAAGAUGAACACUAUGGUGUAUAACCCUGUCAUGUCUUUUUAGCAAUGAACUUUGGAGCCCUGGAAACAAGUAGCCCUAAGUUACAACACUCAAUUUUAAAGGUCCAGCCUCUCUUGGUAUGUCAUGAAGUCUGAUAACCUGUGGAAUCCUGUUGCCUCUUAACAGGAUGCUAAGAGUGGCACAUUCCAGUCAGAGUUGAACAACAGUUUGAACUGCAAAGGUCCACCUGAUUUUUUUCUGCCUCUGCUACCUCUGAAACAGCAAGAUCAGCCCUUGCUCUUCCUUCUGCUCCUACUCAACAUGAAGGCACAAAGACGAAGACUUUAUAAUGAUCCAUUUUUACUUAAUAAGCAGUGAGGCACUGAAGGCAGGCUCCCACUAGUCUUUAAUGGAAAUAUUACAAAGUAGAAGGUA
This is a long non-coding RNA of Homo sapiens (human), 2468 nucleotides long. RefSeq lists it as uncharacterized. Lineage: Eukaryota; Metazoa; Chordata; Mammalia; Primates; Hominidae. The transcript has 8 exons. The record is from RefSeq and is a predicted model, not a curated record.